Long non-coding RNA from Homo sapiens (human), 1908 nucleotides. The record is from Ensembl. NCBI's taxonomy places the organism in Eukaryota, Metazoa, Chordata, Mammalia, Primates, Hominidae.
ACUGCGCGCGCGCCAAGCGCGGCCAGACAGACACCUCGCUGCCAAGUUAAUUCAGCAAGGACCAGGUGUACCUGAACGGCAUCCUGUGCAUUCUGGGACAUCGCCAGACCAUCGAUUUCCCGCUGCUGACCUCACUGGGCAAGGUGUCCUAUGAGGAUGUGGACCACCUGCGGCCCCAUGGGGUGCUGGAUAAUACCCGGAUGCCCCACCUUAUGCAGGACUUGGCACGCUACCGGCAGCAGCUGAAGCACAUCAUGGCCACCAACCGGCUGGAUGUGGCGGAGCUGGGUCGCCUGCUGCCCGACUGAUGUAGGUUGAGGGCUGCAGACAGAGGCCCUGGACAGAAGCUCCAGAUAGGCCCCCAGAACAUGAAGCUGUUUGCUCUGUGCUUCCACGGUCUGGGUGUUUCUUGGGGGGUGUUGGGAGGGCAGGAGCAUUCCUUGAGAAGGAGUGGCAACAUCAAAGGGUUUGUGUCCCUUGCUAGCCUCCCUGGGGCCUGGGGAUCUGCAGCAGCAUGUCUGGCAAACUGAGUCGCCCUCCUGCCUCCAGCUCUGUGUUGAGCAGAGGGAAGGCAUGGGGGCAGGAAGGGAGCUGAGCAUUGAUGGGGAUGAGGGUGGUUUGGGAAUAGAAACUUGUUCUUGCAUAAGAUGGCUUUGGUUGUCCCGGUACUCCAGUCUCUCCCUUCCCUCACCUGUCCCCUUGGUGCUCCUUCAGCAUUCGUGCUGUCUGCUUCUCACUGGGUCCUGGUGGGGGUCGGGAUCCCUUCUCCUGGGGUGAUUGAUGGCCUGAGCUUGGGGUACUACCUGGGGUAGUAGAGACCCAGUUGGUCUGGGGUGUGCUUUCCAACAUUUUGCCUCUCUCACUGGUCAUGUAUUUAUUCCAUAUUUAUAUGAUCUACUUCCUGUGGCUGGGAGCAGCAGCUCCUGAAGGUUCCAUGGCAGGGAACAAGACACUCCUUCUGGAAGGCACCGAUUUUCCUAGCCCCACUCCCAUUACACGCACACACACACACACACAUACAGAGUGAUUCAGGCCUUGUGAAUCAAGCCCAAGAGCUCCCUUGGCCCUGUCCCCACUCCCUCCACUGGCCUCUGCUUUUCCUGUCUUUGCCCACACCCUCACAGCUGGUCUCUGGCACAGGCUGGCAUAGCCUAGGAGCAGCUGCAGUUGUCCCUGAGGGACAGGCCCUAGAGUUUGGUGGCCCAAGUCCUAAACCCCUCCUGGACCAGGUGAGGUGCAGAGCGCCUUUUGUGUAAGUUACUGGUCAGAAUCCUCACUGAGCUCCCAGUCCAGAGGGAAGCCAGACAAUUAAAACAGUAAUAACAAAAAAAAAAAAGAAAAAAGAAAAAAAGGGAUAAGAAGCCUGACAUAUAAAUAGCAUGAAUUGAUAAGAACAAACAACCCGACAGAACGAUGCAGGAAAAUGCUAAAAGUGUUUAAAUCCUAGACUUGAAAAGAAAAAAUCGCCAACAAAAUGUGAAAUAAAAAUGCUCAGUUUAAUUAGUUAAGAAUUCAACUACAUUCAAAUGAAAAUAAAAGCCAUUUGUCAUCCUUAGAAAGAAAAAUGAUAAAAACAGGAGUAAAAUCCUGUGCGUGAGGCCAAAGGAAAUUGGACACUCUUGUCCCUCACAUGGAGGAGGGCAAAGUACUAAAACCUUUCCGAAAAAUAUCUAUUAAAGUAAAAACAGGCACACUCUAAAUAAGUCAUCCCACUUUUGCGAAUCUGUUCUGUGGAAAAUGCAUGUUCUUCCUAACCUUUGCUAAGCAUUUAAACACACUCAUAUAUAUUAUGACGUAUAAAUGUUUGUGCAGUGAUAUCUAUUAUGGCACUGUUCAUUGUGGCAAAAAUCCGGAAGCAACCUUAUGUCCAUUAAAGGUGAGAGGAUUGAAUAAAUUAUGCAUAUCUGC